This 252-nucleotide ribosomal RNA is filed under the name uncultured bacterium. RNAcentral describes it as "partial 16S ribosomal RNA". It matches the Rfam family "Bacterial small subunit ribosomal RNA", at positions 15 to 282 of the family's 1533-position model. The record is from RNAcentral.
GAUCCUGGCUCAGAACGAACGCUGGCGGCAGGCUUAACACAUGCAAGUUGAACGGGAUUUGUGUGGUGCUUGCACCAUAUAAUGAGAGUAGCGCACUGGUGAGUAACACGUGGGAACGUACCUUUUGGUGGGGGACAACAUCUGGAAACGGAUGCUAAUACCGCAUAAGACCUGAGGGUGAAAGAUUUAUCGCCGAAAGAACGGCCGNGGAGAUAGCAGUGGUGGGUAAGGACCGUACCAAACCUAACCGAU